AUCCGCUAGGCGGGGCUCUGGCUGGGUACGCUCGGCUUUAGAGCGCGCGGACCCGGCCGAUCCCGCGAGGCGAGGUCGGAUGGUGGUGGUGGCCGUGAUGGUGCGGCGUGCGGGUCAUUGCGGGGGCGGUGUAGCGGAUGGCGGCGGUGAGGGGAAGGGCUUCGUUCAAAGCC
This is a small RNA of 173 nucleotides. It matches the Rfam family "caulobacter sRNA CC3513". The record is from Rfam.